UAAAGAGCGAAAAUCACGAGUGGAAGCUCCAUUGUUCUCUCCCGCACGUGCACCUUCUUCUCCAUGCUUGAUCCCACUCCAACGGAUAUCCUUCUUAUCCAUGCUAGGUCCUUCAUUCAUGAGCACAACAAAAUAUCUAACUUAGGCAGGAUCAUAUGUUCAUGAACAUUAGAAGUAUUCCCAAGAAACGAAAGUAUGUGGUAAUUCAAUUGGCGUGCAAAGCUAUAGUAACUGAUCCAAUAAGUAUAGCAGCUCGGGCUGCGGGUGCAACAAUGGUGUUGAUGUCCUCAUCAUCCUCCCCUUCUUGAACUGAUGUCGUCCUCGACGGAAGCUCAUCUUCCUCACCCAAAUAUGGCAUCAAAUCUGCAAUGUUAAAAGUGGGACUAACCCCAUCAAGUAUGUAUGUAUUAUCAUUUAUUUUCUCUAACACUUUGAAAGGACCAUCAGCACGUGGCAUUAGCUUUGACUUGAGCAAAUCAGGAAACCUAUCCUUACGCAAAUGCAACCAAACAAGAUCUCCAGGUGCAAAGACAAUAUGUUUUCUACCCUUAUCUCUAGCAAAUUUAUAUUUAGCAUUCAUGCACUCAAUGUUUUCCUUAGUUAACUCAUGCAUCUUUAAUAUCAAAUCAACACGUUCUUUAGCAUCAAAAUUAACCUUCUCCGAAGAUGCAAGAGAUAACAAAUCAAUAGGUGCACGAGGUAGGAAACCAUACACAACUUCAAAAGGACACAUCUUUAUAGUAGAAUGCAGUGAACGAUUAUAAGAAAAUUCAAUAUGAGGCAAGCAUUCUACCCACAUUUUUAGAUUGUUCUUCAAAACAGCUCUAAGCAUAGUAGACAAAGAUCUAUUGACUACUUCAGUUUGUCCAUCAGUUUGGGGUGACAUGUAGUACUAAAAAGCAAUUUUGUCCACAACUUAGCCCAUAAACAUCGCCAAAAGUGGCUAAGAAAUUUAGCAUCACGAUCUGAAACAAUCGUAUUUGGCACACCAUGCAAGCGAAUAAUUUCACGAAAGAACAAAUCAGCCACAUUAGCGGCAUCAUCACUUUUAUGACAGUGUAUAAAGUGUGCCAUUUUAGAAAAUCUGCCCACGACAACAAAUAUGCUAUCCCUCCCCUUCUCUGUUAGAGGUAAGCCUAAAACAAAGUCCAUAGAUAUAUCCUCCCAAGGAACACUAGGUACAGGAAAAGGCAUAUAUAAACCAUGAGGAUUGAGUCGUGACUUAGCUUUUUGACAUGUCGUGCAGCGAGCAACAAAAUGCUCAACAUCCUGUCGCAUUCUUGGCCAACAGAAAUGUGUAGCAAGUACGUCCUCCGUAUUAUUUAUGCCAAAGUGUCCCAUCAAUCCUCCUCUAUGCGCCUCCUGUAACAACAAAAGACGAACGGAGCUAGCUGGAAUGCACAACUUAUUAGCACGAAACACAAAUCCAUUAUUAAUGAUGAACUUGUUCCAUGUUCUCCCUUCUUUACAAUUCUCCAACACAUCUUUGAAAUCAGCAUCAUGCACAUAUUGAUCUUUGAUGGUCUCCAAACCAAAUAUUUUAAAGUCAAGUUGUGAAAGCAUAGUAUAACGACGAGACAAAGCAUCAGCAAUAACAUUUUCUUUACCCUUCUUGUGUUUAAUGACGUAUGAGAAAGUCUCAAUGAAUUCAACCCAUUUAGCAUGUCUACAGUUCAGUUUUUCUUGACUUUUAAUAUGUUUCAAAGAUUCAUGAUCAGAAUGUAUGACAAAUUCUUUGGGCCAUAAAUAAUGUUGCCAUGUUUCCAAAGUCCGUAGAAGAGCAUAUAAUUCCUUAUCAUAAAUAGAAUAAUUCAGACUAGGCCCACUUUUUUUUCCAGAAAAGUAUGGAACUGGUUUAACAUCUUGUAAUAACACACCUCCUAAUCCAAUUCCACUAGUAUCACAUUCAAGCUCGAAAGUCUUAUUAAAAUAAGGAAGUUGGAGUAAAGGAGCAUGUGUUAACUUAUCUUUCAAAACUGUGAAGGAUUCUUCCUGUGCGGUACCCCAAGAAUAAGGCACAUCCUUCUUUGUAAGCUCAUUGAGAGGUGCAGCAAUGGUGCUAAAAUCUCUCACAAAACGCCUAUAAAACCCGGUGAGUCCAAGCAAACUCCUCACUUGUGUGACCGUUUUGGGCCACGGCCAACUCUCAGUAGCUUCAAUCUUGGCUUUAUCAACUUCAAUUCCCUGUGGAUUAACAACAUAGCCAAGAAAAGAUACUCAGUCUGUGCAAAAGGUGCACUUCCCAAGGUUACCAAACAAACGUGCAUCACGUAGAGCAGUAAAAACAACACGCAAAUGAUCCAAGUGUUCCUCCAAAGAUCUACUAUAAAUCAAUAUAUCAUCAAAGUAGACUACCACAAAUCAUCCAAUGAAAGCACGUAAAACCUCAUUCCUUACUCUCAUGAAAGUGUUAGGUGCAUUAGUCAAUCCAAAAGGCAUAACUAACCACUCAUAUAAGCCAAACUUAGUUUUAAAUGCCGUUUUCCAUUCAUCUCCCAUUUUCAUGCGAAUUUGAUGGUAUCCACUAUGCAAAUCAACUUUGGAGAAAAUUAUAGAGCCACUUAAUUCAUCAAGCAUAUCAUCUAGCCUAGGAAUAGGAUGACGAUAAUGAAUAGUAAUAUUAUUAAUGCCUCUACAAUCAACACACAUAUGCGAUGUACCAUCCUUUUUUGGCACUAGAAUAAUAAGAACAACACAAGGACUAAGAGAUUCACGUAUAUAACCUUUGUCGAGCAGCUCUUGUACUUGACGCAUAAUCUCCUUCGUCUCCUCUAGAUUGGUACAGUAUGGUGCACAGUUGGGUAGCGAUGCACCAGAAAUUAAGUCAAUCUGAUGCUCAAUCCCUCUAAUAGGUGGUAAUCCCGGUGGCAUGUCUUGUAGAAAGACGUCAGUGAACUCCUGCAAAAUGUUAAUGACAACAGGAGGCAAAGAGGGUGGCAUGUCCUCGAAUGAAAAUAAUACCUCUUUGCAUACGAAAGCAUAGCAAACAGAUGCAGUAAUAUCCAAAUCAAUAAUAUCAGAUUUAGUGGCAAGUAAACAACCACUCUUCAGUUUUAUUUCGGAGGCAACACUAGAUGAUGAUUUAGUAGGCUUAUUGUGUUGCUCAAAUUACUUUGCUACAAUCUGAUUUUCAACCUUAUGUAGGUCUUGUUUUGCUUUACUAGCUCUAGCAAUGUUAUCUUUCAUAAUAUGUUCAGGAGACAUAUGAAGCAAAUUAAUAUUUUGAUCCUUAUGAACAAGAGUAUACUGAUUUGUUCUACUAUGGUGUACAUAAUUUUUAUCAAAUUGUCAUGGUCUACCAAGUAAAACGGAGCAUGCUUGCAUGGGUACCACAUCACAAUCAACAAAAUCAGAAUAUGUAGCAAUGCUAAAAUGCACACUAACAGUACGUGUUACCUUAACCUUGCCACUGUUGUUGAACCACUGGAUAUAAUAAGGAUGAGGAUCUGGUCUGGUGGUGAGAGACAGCUUCUCCACCAUCUCCAUGCUAGCUAAGUUGUUGCAACUCCCUCCAUCGAUGAUUACGCGAACAGAACGUUCCUUUACCACUCCCUUAGUAUGGAACAAGUUGUGCCUCUGAUUUUGCUCAGCCCGUGUUACCUGCACACUUAAAACACAUUGAGCAACUAAGCUUCAUACCUGUCAGCGUAGUCAGCUGCCAUGUAUAGUGUGUCUUGUUCAGUAUCAUCAACACCCCGUUCUUCACUUGCAAUAAGAGCUAGAGUCUCCUCAUCGUAAUCACUAGCGGAGUCAUAUCCACCAUCCUCAGUAAUAAUCAUCACGCGCUUGGAUGGGCACUCUCUCACAUAAUGACCUCCACCCUUGCAAUGCCUACAAAUAACCUCAUGUGUUUGACCUGUGGAUGCGAUGGAUGAAGAAGAGCUCUAUGCGGGCCCAGAAGAUGUGCUCUUGGUGAAGUGUGGUGCAGGGGCUUGAUUCCUGGUAUCUCUAUGAAUUGGUGGCUGAAUGAGGCGGUGCUAAUGCAGGAGGACGUGUGGAAGUAGAUGUGGUUCGUGGCGUCCAUGAGGAAGUGCGACCUGCAAAAAAAUUAGUUCUUGCCAAUGCUUGUCGAUCCUGCACUUCACGUUCAGCUUUGCAAGCAAGAUGGAAUAAACGAGUGAUAUUGUUAUAAUCCUUAUAUUCUAGAAUAGUAUGAAUAUCUCUAUUUAAACCACCCAUAAAACAUGCAAGCAUAGCUUCAUUGUCCUCAACAAUACCACAUCUAAUCAUGCCAGUUUGUAAUUCCUGAUAAUAUUCUUCUACAGACUUUUUCCCUUGUCUUAAACGCUGCAAGUUUUGAAGUAAUUCACAUUGAUAAUAUGGUGGAACCCAACGAGUACGCAUAGCAGUUUUAAACGUAGGCCAAGUAGUUGGAAUAUUAGCAUGAUGUAUUCUACAAUAUUCAGACCACCAAACACAAGCAAAACUAGUGCAAGAGCAAAUAGCAGCAGCAACACGUCUAUCUUUAGGAAAUUGCAAGCAUGUAAAACGUUGCUCUGUUUCUAACUCCCAAGUAAGAUAUAUAUCAGGAACAUAUCAACCAUCAAAAGUAGGAAUAUUCAUUUUAAGUUAGGGAGGUGGUCAUGAUCCCGUACCUGAGGGUGUGGUGCAUCCCUACCAUUGCGACUGUAUCCAUGUGGACGUCCGGCGGCUUGUCGUGGUGGUUGUUGUUCCUGGUGCUGAACUGGAGCAACCUCUCCCUCAUCAUCGUAAUCACCAUCAUAAUCAUCAUCAUACUCCUCAUUCUGCUCAGCCACAGAAACCUCGGUGGUAGCAGCACCAGGACCAGCCGUAGCAGUAGGAGCAACAACACCAAAGUUCUGCACUUGGCCAACAGGAACGCAUCGCGCUCGUAGCCGUUGUUGUGUUGAAGAGGGACAACAGCUGGAACUGGUGGUGGUAAUCGGGCCAGCACCUCAUUGAAGUGGGCGUUCAUCUUGGUGUCAAAAAAAUUUUCCAUACCUUCGAGCUUGUCCUUGGCCUCUCCAAAGGUGGUCACGAAAUCCUGUACCUGGUCAGACAUCAUUUGUUGAAAUUUAUCAUGGAGCUCUCGGUUGGUCAUGUUCUCCCAGUCGAUCUCCUCGUCGUGUGAUCCUGGCAUGGUUAGCAGCAAUAGGAACACAGAAGAAUAUGAACCUACAGACUACUAGGAAGUGGNUGGUGGUGGUGUGUGCUACCUCUUGAGAUUGCGUUGGUUUUUCCCUUGAAGAGGACAGGGUCAUGCAGCACAGUAGCAGUAAGUAUUUCCCUUAGUUUUGAGAACCAAGGUGUCAAUCCAGUAGGAGUAUCAAGCCAACUUUCCAAAGUACGUGCGCAAAAAACAGCAAACUUGCAUCCAACGCUACAAAGGGGUUGUCAAUCCCUUCACGAUUGAUUGCAAGGUGAGAUCUGAAGGCGGAAAGUGCAACGAAGUAAAAGUGUAAGGCGGAAAAUAUGAUGUGAAGUAGACCUGGGGGCCAUAGUGUUCACUAGAGGCUUCUCUCAAAAUAGCAAAUAUUACGGUGGGUGAACGAAUUAUUGUCGAGCAAUUGAUAGAACCGCGCAAAGUCAUGACAAUAUCUAAGGCAAUGAUCAUACAUAUAGGCAUCACGUCCAAGACAAAUAGACCAAUACUGUCUGCAUCUACUACUAUUACUCCACACAUCGACCGCUAUCCAGCAUGCAUCACGUGUAUUGAGUUCAUGACGAACAAAGUAACGCCUUAAGCAAGAUGACAUGAUGUAGAGGGAUAAAUUCAUGCAAUAGAUAUAAACCCCAUCUUUUUACCCUUGAUGGCAACAACAUGAUGGAUGCCUCGCUGCCCCUUCUGUCACUGGGAGAGAUCACCGCAUGGUAUGAACCCAAAACCAAGCACUUCUCCCAUUGCAAGAAUCAUAGAUCAAGUCGGCCAAACAAAACCCACAACUCGAAGAGAAUUACAAGGGUAUGAAAUCAUGCAUAUAAGAGAUCACAAGAAACUCAAACAAUAUUCAUAGAUAAUCUGAUCAUAAAUCCACAAUUCAUCGGAUCUCGACAAACACACCGCAAAAGAAGAUUACAUCGGAUAGAUCUCCAUGAAGAUCAUGGAGAACUUUGUAUUGAAGAUCCAAGAGAGAGAAGAAGCCAUCUAGCUACUAGCUAUGGAUCCAAAGGUCUAUGGUGAACUACUCACGCAUCAUCGGAGAGGUCAUGGUGUUGAUGAAGAAGCCCUCCAUAUCCGAAUCCCCCCUCCGGCAGGGCACCAGAACGUGCCCCAGAUGGGAUCUUGCGGAGAUAGAAGCUUGCGGCAGCGGAAAAGUAUUUUCGUGGAACUCUCGCGUAGUUUUGGAUUUUUCGGGAAUUUAUAGGCGGAAGAGGUAGGGCAGACGAGCCACAGGUGGCCCACAAGCCUGCUAGGCGCCCCCCUGGUCGCGCCUAGGAGGCUUGUGGCCUCCCGUGGUGGCCUCUGCCUAGGUUCUCAUGCCCCCUGCGUAUCUUCUGUUCCGGAAAAAUCUUUUCGGAGGUUUUAUUCCGUUUGGACUCCGUUUAAUAUUCUCCUCUGAAAAGGGUCAAAAACACGGAAAAACAAGAACUGGCACUUGGCACUGAGUUAAUAAGUUAGUCCCAAAAAAGGAUAUAAAAGGCAUACAAAACAUCCAAAGUUUGACAAGAUAAUAGCAUGGAGCAAUAAAAAAUUAUAGAUACGUUGGAGACGUAUCAAGCAUCCCCAAGCUUAACUCCUGCUCGUCCUUGAGUAGGGAAGUGAUAAAGAAUGAAUUUUUGAUGUGGAAUGCUACCUAGCAUAUGUGUCCUUUGUAACUUCUUUCAUGUGACAUGAAUGUUCAGAUCCAUAAGAUUCAAAACAAUAGUUUGCUAUUGACAUGAAAACAAUAAUACUUCAAGCAAACUAGCAAAGUAAUUAUGAACUUUCGAAAUAACAAGGCCAAAGAAAAUUAUCCCUGCAAAAUCAUAUAGUGUGGCUAUGCUCCAUCAUCCCCACACAACGAAUUUAAAUCAUGUACAACCCCGGUAUUGGCCAAGUAAUUGUUUUUGCACUCUUACUUUCUCAAACUUUUUUCAACUCUCACGCAAUACAUGAGCGUGAGCCAUAUAUAUAGCACUAUAGGUGGAAUAGAGUGUGGUGGAGGUUGUGAGACAAAAAGGAGGAGAUGGUCACAUCGACUCAGCGUAUCAAAGGGCUAUGGAGAUGCCCAUUAAUAGAUAUCAAUGUGAAAGAGUAGGGAUUACCAUGCAAUGGAUGCACUUAGAGCUAUAAGUAUGUGAAAGCUCGAAAGGAGAACUAGUGGGUGUGCAUCCAACUUGCUUGCUCACGAAGACCUAGGGCAAUUUUGAGGAAGCCCAUCAUUGGAAUAUACAAGCCAAGUUAUAUAAUGAAGAUUCCCACUAGCAUAUGGUGGUGACAAAACAAGAGACUCUCAAUCAUGAAGAACAUGGUGCUAUUAUGAAGCACAAGUGUGGAAAAGAUAGUAGCACUGUCCCUUCUCUCUUUUUCUCUCUUUUUUUUAGUUUGGGCUCUUUGGCCUAUUUCCAUAUCUCUUUUUUUGUGGGCAACUUUGGCCUCUUUUUUUUAUUUCCUCACAUGGGACAAUGCUCUAAUAAUGAUGAUCAUCACACUUUAAUUUACUCAAAGCUCAAUGUUUAGAACGAUGAUGACUCUAUAGGAAAUGCCUCCGGCAGUGUACCGGGAUGUGCAACGAUCUAGCUUGGCGUAUGAUGUUGAAAAAAUCUCGCUAGCUAUCGUACGAUCAUGCAAAGGCAAUAUGAAAGUGACAGCACAUGUCAUGAGACGGAACGGUGGGAGUUGUAUGGCAAUAUAUCUCGGAAUGGCUAUGAAAAUGCCAUAGGGGGUGUUUGGUUGGGAUUCCAGCCAGCUUCCGGCUUCCGGCUUCAAAGCCAAAAGCUCCUAUUUAGGGGCUUCCGGCUGCAACUGUGGCUUUCGGUUGCGGCUGUGACAAGGAUGAAAGCCACAGCUGCAGCCGGAAGCCCCUAAAGAGGAGCUUUUGGCUUAAAAGCCGAAAGCCGGAAGCUGGCUGGAAGCCCAACCAAACACCGUCAUAGUAGGUAGGUAUGGUGGCUGUUUUCAGGAAGGCAUAUGGUGGGUUUGUGCACCGGCGAAAGUUGCGCGGCACUAGAGAGGCUAGCAAUGGUGGAAGGUGAAAGUGCAUCUAUACCAUGGACUCACAUUAGUCAUGAAGAACUCACAUACUUCUCGCGAAAGUUUUUAUUAGUAAUCGAAACAAAGUGCUGAGAGCAUACUCCUAGGGGAAGGGUUGGUAGGUGCUAACCAUCGCGCAAUACCGACCGCAACACAAAGGAUGACAAUCAAUAGAUCAAUUAUGCUCCGACUUCCUAACAUAGCGGUUCACCAUACGUGCAUGUUACGGGAAUCACUAACUUCAACACAAGUAUUUCUAGAUUCACAACACCCUACUAACAUAACUCUUAAUAUUACCAAAUCCAUGUCUCAAAAAUAUUUGAGAGGAAUCAAACUUCUCUUUCUAAUCAAUGCACAUGAAGAUGGAAGUUUUAUUGUAUCCUCUUUGGGUACCUAUCACCUUUGGGACUACUUUCAUAGGACAAGCCAACUACCAAGUUACUCAAAGAGAUCACUCUCAAAAAGAUAUAAGUGAAGAUCGAGAGUUCUUAUUUCUCCAAAAUAUAACAUGGCCAUGCUCUAAAAGAUCUAAGUGAAGCACUCAGAGCAAAAUUAUCUAGCUCAAAAGAUAUAAGUGAAGCACAUGUGAGCUAAAUUGCCUAACUCAAAAGAUAUAAGCGAAGCUCAAAGAGUAUUCUAGAAAAUUCACGAUGAGUGCAUGUCUCUCUCAAAAGGUGUGCAGCAAGGAUGAUUGUGACACAACAAAAAUAAAAGACUCCUAUGAUACAAGACGCUCCAAGCAAAACACAUAUCAUGUGGUGAAUAAAAAUAUAGCUCCAAGUAAUGUUACCGAUGGAUUGAAGAUGAAAGAGGGGAUGCCUUCCCGGGGCAUACCCAAGCUUAGGCUUUUUGAUGUCCUUGAAUUUGCUUGGGAUGCCUUGGGCAUCCCCAAGCUUGAGCUCUUUCCACUCUUUAUCCCUUUGUCCAUGAGAGCAUCACCCAAAACUUGAAAACUUCACAACACAAAACUUAAACAGAAACUCGUGAUAUCAUUAGCACAAGAAAACAAACUACCACCUCUUUAGGUACUGUAGCAAACUUGAUUUCUAUUUAUAUUGGUGUUAGAUUACUGUAUUCUCACUUUUCCAUGGCUAAUACCCCCUGAUACUAUCCAUAGUUUCACCAAAACAAGCAAUCAACACAACAAAAACAGAAUCUGUCAAAAACAGACCAGUGUGUAGCAAUCUAUAUACUUCGUAUACUUCUGGUAUCUAAACAAUUAUGAACAAUUACGACAGUUUGGACAAUUAGCAUAUAAACCAGAAGCAAAAAAGAAUCAACUAAAAAGGUCUUUCUGAAUUAAAAUGAAAAAUAAUUUCGUGAGAGAAAAGUUUAUGUCUUUUUCCAGCAGGAUCAAACAACCAUCACCAAAACUAGUCAUAAAGGUUUUACUUGGAUCAAACACAAAAAGAAACACAAAAAACACAAUCAUAACAGAAUUAUGAUGGUGUGGACGCAACAAAACAGAAAGCAAAAAAGAAAAGAUAAAUUCAUUGGGUUGCCUCCCAACAAGCGCUAUUGUUUAACGCCCUUAGCUAGGCAUUGAUAAUUCAAUGAUGCUCACAUAAAAGAUAGCAAUCGGACACGAAGAGAGCAUCAUGAAACAUGUGAAAAUCACAUAUAAGUCUAACAUACUUCCUAUGCAUAGGCAUUUUAUAAGAAAACAAAUUAUCAAGACAAGCAAUAACUACAUUAUGCAAGGAAGAAGGAAGAGACAAUAUCAAUCUCAACAUAACGAGAGGUAAUUUAGUGAUAUGAAAGUCUCUACCAUAAUAUUUCCCUCUCUCAUAACAAUUACAUGUGGGAUCAUAUUCAAAUUCAACAAUAUAGCUAUCACAUAGGAUAUUCUUUUCAUGAUCCACAUGGAUGCAAAGUUGACAAUCUUCAAAAAUAGUGGGAUUAUCAUCAACUGAAGUCAUGUCUUCUCCAAACCCACUUUCAAAAAUAUUGCAAAUAUCAUAUUCAUCAUGAGGCUUAAACAAAUUUUCAAGAUCAUAAGAAAAAUCAUUACCCCAAUCAUGAUCAUUGCAACAAGUAGGGCACAUAGAAAAACUAGCAUCCCCAAGCUUAGGGUUUUGCAUAUUUUUAGCAUGAUUGUAUUAAUAGAAUUUAUAAUGAAACCAUUGCAAUCAUGCUUUUCAUUCAAGGAGCCCUCGUGAAUCACUUCAUAAAUUUCUUCAUCACGAUUUUCAGAUUCACGCAUCUCAUGCAAAACUCCAUAGAGAAAGUCAAGUGCACUCAACUCACUAGCAAAUGGUUCGACAUAAUUGGAUCUCUUAAAGAGAUUAGCAAGUGAUGAGGAUCCAUAUCAAUAGAUUUUCACCAAGCGAAGAUGCGAGCAUAUUGAAGGCACAUAGCACACAAGCAAAGGAAAGGAAAACGAAAAAGGCAAAUAUUUUUGUAAAUUUUUGUUUUUCAGAAGCGGGGGAGAAGAAAACGAGAGGCAAAAAAGUAAAUGCAAGAGAUGAGUUUGCGACACUUACUUGGAUAAGCUUCACUUAGAAUAAUUCCCGGUGCCAGAGAUUGACACAUUGACGGGAGACUAUUCUUGACUCGAUCCUCCCCGGCAAAGGUGCCAGAAAUUGGCACGUUGAUGGGAGACUAUUCUUGUCUUGAUCCUCCUCCCCGGCAACGGCACCAGAAAUUCUUCUUGCUACCUCUUGAGCUUGCAUUGGUUUUUCCCUUGAAGAGGACAGGGUGAUGCAACACAGUAGCAGUAAGUAUUUCCCUCAGUUUUGAGAACCAAGGUGUCAAUCCAGUAGGAGUAUCAAGCCAAGUUUCCAAAGUACCUGCGCAAAAACAGCAAACUUUCACCCAACGCUACAAAGGGGUUGUCAAUCCCUUCAUGAUUGAUUGCAAAGUGAGAUCUGAAGGUAGAAAGUGCAACGAAGUAAAAGUGUAAGGCGGAAAAUAUGAUGUGAAGUAGAACCGGGGCCAUAGUGUUCACUAGAGGCUUCUCUCAAAAUAGCAAAUAUUACGGUGGGUGAACGAACUACUGUCGAGCAAUUGAUAGAACUGCGCAAAGUCAUGACGAUAUCUAAGGCAAUGAUCAUACAUAUAGGCAUCACGUCCGAGACAAGUACACCGAUACUGUCUGCAUCUACUACUAUUACUCCAAACAUCGACCGCUAUCCAGCAUGCAUCUAGUGUAUUGAUGUCACAUCCCUGGAUUCCCUAUUAGGGUUUAGCAAGUUGUGCUCAUGUCUUCUCUCUUUGCAUCCAAGAAAUGGAAAUGAACUCAAAGGAAGUGGGGAAAUCAAAGCAAAACCCUAGCCAGUCCUUAUUCGUAAGAUAAUUCAACAAGUGCCAAAUCAAUGAACCCAAAAUGGCCAUUAGAAAAGUUCAUCUUUUGUGUUAGAUGUUGAAAACAAGAUAUCAGAGGUGAAACAUAUUUUCAAAAUACUUUUGGCAUUUUAAUUUUAAGUUAAAAGCUACUAAAAUCAACUAUAUAUUUGAUUUCAAAUAUUUCAAAGUUUUGAAAAAUGUUGAAAACUUCAUAUGUGGUUCGAAAUAUUCCAGCUAACACUUUAGUAUCAUUCAAACUAUUUUAGGAAUAGUUUGGAGCCAAAAAUAAAACAAAACAAAGUCUGUAAUUAAAUAUCAGAAACAUACAUGAAAGGAAUAAGAAAAAAACCUAUCUAACGCUUACCUGAGGCCCAGCCCACCUUUUCCCUCUCGUCUACCUCGUGCCAGCGAGCAGCAGGAGGUGGCCGCCGCUCGCUCCGGCGCGGCCACGCACCUGCGUGCUUGCUUGGACCUCCCCGUCGCGUUGGCAAGGAGGAUAAGCCUCCCCGCGAACCAUUCCACCUCUCUCCCUGUCCUCAUUCUCCCCCUUUGCCCCUCCCCUCUCGGCCGCCAUUAGAGCUCGAGCUCGAGCUAGCCGUUGUCUCUAGCCACCGGAAGUCUCCCUGAGCAUGCCGUUCGCUCCGCCUCAACGAGCUGGUCGUCCCUGCCAAAGGAGAAGAGCCCCUGACCCCUACAUCGCCAGAUCCCCGUCGUCUUCCUCCUCGGGCCGUCAUUGAUCGCCGCCGCCGUUCUCCCUCCUCAGGCCAUCCCCGAGCAUGUUUUCGACGCCGCUGCACUCCCUGUGAGCUCAAGGUUCUUUUCCCCUCUUUUCCCCCUUCGAUUCCGAGCUCUAGGCCCCGAUUCCACCGGAGCCCGACGAGAUCCGCCGUGGGACCUCGUCGCCGGUAGCCCUCCGGUGAUCGGCUGGUCAAUCUCAGGCCACCAAUGGCUUUAGUUCAUUGCGUAGGUGCUGUAGGAGCCUAGCCCCACGCGUGUUGAGCCCCGUAUCAGUGACCCCGAUGAUGCCCGAGCUUCGGCCGCCGCCGAGCUCGUCGCCGGCGUCAUCUCCGGCCAUUUCAACCCCUGCUGCGUGCAAAAAUGGAACCUUGGGUGAAGUGCCAUUCUUCUGGUGCCCUCCGUGUGAAGUUUGGUUGCCGGAAUGGAAAUCCCGAGCCCCUCCGCCGUCUCUGUGGUCGCCAGAGGCUCAUCGCCGGCGAGAUCCACCUCGCCGCCGGUGGAUCUGACUCCCUUGAGUCAGUGGCAAGUGGGGCCAGCCCCCAGGCUAAUUAGGAUUAGAAAAAUAAAAAGAAAGAUUAUUUUAAAAUCUAAUCAGACACUGACAUGUGGGUCCAACCCUGUUAAUUAGCUAUUUAAGUUAAACUUAAACUAAAAACUGGCCAGAGUCACUCACUAGUGGGUUCCCUUGGUCAGGUUUGACUUUCAACGGCCAGAUUGACCUGCUGAUGUAAUGCUGAUGCAAUAAAACCUUUUUUGUUUAAAAAUAAUUCCAGAAUAAGUUCAAAACUUUGGAAAUUCAUAGAAAAUUGAAUAUAACUCCAAAUUUGACAAAUAACAUAUGUAAAAUGAUCAGAAAAAUUCAAGGAAUCUAAUGGUGCUAUUUUCAUGUAUGAAAAACAAAGUUAUGAAACAGCAUCAGGUCAAAUCAAUUAAAAGAAUUUGCUAAAUUAUAAUUGAUAUGAUAUUUGAAUUAUGGUUUCAAAUCAAUAUCACCCAAAAGGUUCUGUUAGUCAUCUCAAACCACGAUACAUUGCAUUUCAUGCAUCAUUUUGUUGCAUAUGCUUGAUAUUGAUUGAUUGUUGUUAUUCCGGUAGGCUCUGCCCCUCCGGAUACGACUGAUUAUCCGACUGACGGAUAUCACCCCUCUGCUGAGCAACAAGGCAAGCAACCAUUUUGAUCAUCCCGAUAAAACCCAUGUUCUCGCUCCUGCUCUUACUUAUUGCAUUAGGUUAAAAUGCUUCCAGUGCUUUUACCAUGUUAGUUGAACCCACUUCCUUUGCAUGACCUGUCCUUGUCAUAGUAAAUAGCUGAACCUUGCAACCUAGCAUACCUGGUAGAUGCUUGAGCCAUGAAGUGCCUUAUCCUGCUAUGCAUGCUAUGCUUAGAGUUGUGUAUGGUCUGUCAUCUGGGUGAUGAACAGGAUCGUGAGAAUGUGUUUAGUUAGUAAAGGUUGUGUGUUGAACCUGAUUUGGUAAAGGUAUCGGUGAAAGGCUAUGUAGGAGUACAUGGCGGGUUGUUUCAUUGGAACCGUCCUUAGGAACUAAGUUAUGUGUAUGUAAUCCAAGUCAAGAUACUACCACAUGCUGGGCCCUGAAAUAUGACCCCGCUCGACUUAUUAUUCGCCUAGUACUCGGUCUAGGAGUUGCAAGUAGUUUCUGGUGUUUAUAGUCAAGCUAGAGGCUGUGCGUAGCGCUGACCUUAGAGGUGGGCUAUGAUGCGGUAGGCACUGGCACGGUGUACCAAGUGGCACCCGGAUGGUGGGCUUGGGAACCCUGCGCACGUCGUUUGGGGCCGUGGCGGAAACCUUGACCGGACUUCCGUGGAGGUUACCCUCAGAUAGGCGAUAGAUCUGGACUAAGUAUUAGCGUGGUUAACGGUCGUGGCCGACUCCCUCGUUGGGCUUCCGCUUGAAGGUUGACGAGAUGCAUGACGUGCACAUGGUGAUAAGUGCGAGAGCAUGUGUUAAGAAGUACACCCCUGCAGGGUUAUGAUCUACUCGAAUAGCCGCGUCCGCGGAUAUGGACUACUUGGAAACAUAUGUUGUUCAUAGAUAACUAUAAUGGCUACUCAUAAAAUUGUCAAGAUUAGUGUGAGUCUCGUGGAUGGCAUUUCCGUAGGGAGUCGGAAUGAUUCCACGAUGGAGAAUUGUUGUGGUGUUAGUGGACACGUGUGCGAGAAAACAUAGUUGUAAAAACUAUUUAAAAAUGCAAGUUGUCUAGCCAAGAGUCAAAUGCUGGCUUUCUGCAUGAAACCCCACAACUCCUUGUUGGUACAUUGCAUGAGUAGAUAGAUUAUCCUAAAGUCUUGCUGAGUACUUUUGUACUCGUCUUUGCUUAAUAAAUUUUUGCAGAGGUUGUUAAUGACCCUAAUGGAGGGUUCUUCCUAGACGUUGACGACGACGAGUAGCUGGUGUCACAGCUAUGAUCUGGCCCUAGGUUAGGUCUGUAGAUAGUCAGGCCAUGUGCCUUUAUCUUUCUAGUUGUCUAUACUCAGAUAGUUUUAUUCUUCCGUUGGCUUGUAAGAUUUGUGUAUAUGACUUGUGAUGAUGGGUCGUGAGACCCCUAUCUAUGUAAUAUUAUGUGUGAGGCUCUUCCCAGCCUUCUAAAUAAAGUUUGUAUGUUUAUGGUUAUGUUGUGAUGCAAUCGAUGUAUCUAUGCAUAUCGGUAUGCCAUGCGUACGUGUGUUGUACUUGAUAUGUAUGGGGUUCGAAUACCUAGUCGUAUGCCUUAGUAGCACUCCUUACGGGGAAAUGCCCCUUUGUGAUUCCAUCGUGCCAUGGUAGUUCGCUACUGCUCCGGACACAUUGGUUGACCGGCAUGUGUCCUCCUUAGCUGUUGUGUCUGUCCCUUUGGGAAAUGUCACGCGUUGUAAUGGAGUCCUUGUAGCUUGCUACUACUCGUCUACAUUUGCUGAUGACCGACACCUGCUUUGUUGGGUCAUGUAUGCCUGUCCUUGUACGGAACUGUCGCUUGAGUUUAUGACUAGACAUGUCGAUCCGGGUUCUUUGACAUUGGAUUGCUAGCAAAACAAUUGCAUACGCAAGUCAAAAGGCGCAAACGGUCACGGCUAAGGUAAGGCUGCAGCCGUGGGGAUAACCAUGUGUCAGACUGCAAAGAGAUGUGAUGUGUUAUAGGCUGGAUUCCUAUGACUUAGGAUCGGGAUCCCGACAGCGUUGGUAUCAGAGCCUGACUGACUGUAGGAUUACUAAGCCAAACUGGUAGAGGUUGAGUCUACAAUUGCUUUAGUUACACAUAAGGGAAUUGUUUGUGGGAGGGAACGUAAGACUCUUGCUUCUCUUCUUAAAUUAUUCUACUCUGGUCAUCCUCAUCUUUUCUGUGGGGAUUAAGGACUAGGUUACUUAUCUUUCUCUUAGGCUCGUGUUUUCUGAUCGGUAGAUGAUAGGACAACGAGUCCAGAGUUACUUCGAGUUUCUCUUAUUUCAAGGAAAAGAAAGUAAGUUUUGAUGACCAAGGAAUUGAACUUGAUAGUUGAGUGGUUAUGCUAUCCUAUCUUUGUGGGUUGUCUCAAAAUUGUUUUUGAGCAUUUACAGCCGUUAUGCUGCCCAAAUAUUGUCUUUAGAGGUUUAAAUGCUUUUGCAUUACUCUCUAUUUUCAUAUGCCUGGCCAUCCUUUUCGUCAGGUGGUCCGUCUGACUAGGUGCAUUGAUGUGCCAGGUCAUACGGCCAUGCUAGUCAGGAUGAUGUCAGUAGCCGGUUACCGCUGGUACCCAGAGUACACAAUGGAGGAGCAGUACCGGGAUUUUAAUCAGAGUCAGUAUCUCUGCACUGUUAGGGUAUCCCCAGAUUACCCUGGAGCUGAGGAGCCGAUCCAUUGGUCUUAUGGAUUGGGGGUCACUGUUGACAUGGCAGUACAAGAUGCUGCCUAUUCAAUGCUGACCAUCAUGAGGGCCAGACAUGCACUGUUGCAAAAUUCAGAGUUCUGUUAUGUUCCUGCCUCUCAGCCAGGAGAAGAAGGAUACCUGAGUGGGGUCUACUUUGAUUCCUCUAUGGAGGAUCCACUGCUGAGAUGCUAGAGAAUAGAGACACGGAUGCUCGUGCCCUUCAUAUGGAGCUCUAUGCUACACGUGCCCGCCUGUGGACGGCUUUGACACAGCUAGCACCUGUAGUCCAGACAGGGUAUGGCGAUAUGGAGAUGUUGAACCUUGUUAGGACCCAUCUUACGGCUCUUGUUGACUGGCCUGCUAUAGGAGGAGUCACCCCUCUUCGAGGACCUCUACUACCACCAGUCGCGGGACCAAGGCCACACCCGUGCCCUUACGGUUCCCAGGGGUCUCAGGCUCGAGUAUUUCCUGAUCCGCAGGUUGAGCUCCCAAGUCAUGGAGGCAACCUUUAUGAGAUGUUCUAUGCGGAUGCCUGAACCCGUGAGUGGAAGGAUAGUAUGGUAGUAGUUAUACUUCCACAGUCAUGUGUGUCUUGUGGAGUAUGCUUAUGUCGUGAGAUGAAUUCCGGAGGCAUAGAUAAAUAAUGUAUAGGAAGCUUGGAAAGCCUCUGAUGAGUUGUGUCAUCUUUUCAGUAGUUUGCUCUUCGGUUAAGGUUGUACUGAACUAUGUAAUGGUGUGUAUGAACCAUGGUGUAUAUAUAGCAGUUUCUUGUUACCAUGUUGUUCGGAUGUUCAUUUCCGCAUUCCAUGUGUUUAGUGCAUUCUUAAUCCAUAGUUAGUAUUGAUGUUGAUAUUGGUCUAAGCUGUGAGUUUGUUUGUCAGGAUGGUGUUCACAAGGUUGAACCGUGCCCCUGUUCAUGAGCAGGGAGAGGGUAGUCAAGCAUCGCAGGAGGAACUGCCUCACCCGCCCUCUCUGGCGGAAGUAAUGCUUGAGGCAGAAAGAAACAAAAGGGAGACCAACCGUCUGUUAGAGCGUAUUGAGAAAAAUAUGGCUCGUCAGCCUAGGAAUGAUGCAGUGUCCCUCAAUGACUUUGUGAAGCUGAAUCCUCCGAAGUUCCAUCACUCCGUCGACCCCCUCGACGCUGAUGACUGGUUGUGCAGUAUAUCGUGCAAGAUUCGCUCUGCAAAUGUUUCUGAGGCCGACAAGGUGACCUUUGCGGCGUACUUCCUGGAAGGACCCGCCAAUUUGUGGUGGGAGAACUUUGAAGCUAUGAGCCCUGCCGGACCAGUAGCCACACGGGCAGACUUUAGUGCAGCCGUUCGUAUGCACCAUAUUCCAGAGGGUCUGAUGGACAGAAAGAGAGAGGAGUUCUGUGCAUUCACCGAGGGAAAAUUGACCGUGGAUGCCUAUAGCCGCGAGUUCGGUACACUCGCCCGCUAUGCAACUGAAGAGGUGUCAACUGAUGCCAAGAAGCAAGCACGAUUCCGCAAGGGUCUGAGCCCCGAACUUCGUCCUGAUCUGCGCCUCCACGAAUGUACAAGCUUUGAAGCUCUUGUCAACAAGGCGAUCAGUGCCAAGACUGGUCAUACCGACUAUGAAGCCACAAGGAAGCACUCCCGUGACUCUGGCUAGUCAUCUGGUUCAGCGUUCCCAAAACGGAGGUUGUGGGUUCCAAAUAGUUCUCUGCCGCCAAGAUAUACCCCGAGGCCAUCCUAUGUGGCGCCUCAGGCAAAUCAGACCAACCCUCCAGCAAAACCCUAUGGUGGCCCAGCUAGCAAUGUUGCACCACGUGCCAAUCAGGUGAUAUGUUACAAGUGUGGAGAACCAGGGCACUAUUCCCGAGAGUGUCCUCAGAAUAUGGGUGCCAAGCAACCUGGAAAGUCCGUUGGGCAAGGCAAGUCGGGCAAAGCUUACUAUGUGAAGCCAACUCCUGCACGUGGCCGUGUGAACAAUGUUUCAACAGAAGAAGCUACACAGGAUCCCGACGUCAUUCUAGGUACGCUCCUUGUCAAUCAUCACCCAGCGUCUGUUCUUUUUGACACUGGGUCAUCUCAUUCCUUUAUUUUAGAAAGUUAUGCACGGUUGCAUAACAUGUCUUUCUGUGAUAUGCCAAUCCCAUUAGUUGUCCAAACCCCUGGUAGUAAGUGGCAAACCUCCAGGAUAACCUAUGACAAUGAAAUUCUAGUAGACAGGCUAGUUUUUCUAGCAUCUUUGAUAGCCUUGAAGUCUUCGGAUAUCAAUAUCAUCUUGGGUAUGUAUUGGAUGUCGGCCCAUUAUGCCAAGAUUGAUACUCAUUCUAGAAAUGUUCAUCUUACCCAUCCCUCGGGUGAGAUAGUCAAUGUCUCUACUCGAGUUGCCAAAUGCCAACUCUAUUCCCUCAAUGCCAACCCUCUUCCAGAACUUGAAGACAUUCUGGUAGUCCGUGACUUUCCGGAUGUUUUUCCAGAAGAACUGCGAGGAAUUCCACGUGACAGGGAUGUGGAGUUUGUGAUAAACCUUGUUCCGGGAACUGUCCCAAUAGCCAGAAGACCUUAUAAGAUGGCACCCUUGGAGCUAGCCAAACUUAAGAAGCAAUUAGAUGAGGCCUUGAAUAAAGGUUUCAUUCGUCCUAGCUCCUCUCCUUGGGCUUGUCCCGUCCUCUUCGUUAAGAAGAAAGACGGAACGGAUCGGAUGGUUGUAGAUUAUCGACCAGUUAACCUGGUCACCAUAAAGAACAACUAUCCGCUCCCCAGGAUCAACGAUCUGUAUGAUCAGCUCGUUGGAUCCUCAGUCUUCUCCAAAAUGGAUUUGAGGUUGGGAUACCAUCAAAUCAAGAUCAAGAACGGGGACAUCCCAAAAACGGCUUUUGUCACUCGUUAUGGCCAACACGAGUACACCGUCAUGUCCUUUGGUUUAACCAAUGCCCCAUCCACCUUCUCUCGCUUGAUGAAUUCAAUCUUCAUGGAGUAUUUGGAUAAAUUCGUCAUAGUAUACCUCGAUGAUAUUCUCAUCUAGUCGAAGAACGAACAAGAACAUGCCGAGCAUCUAAGGCUGGUAUUGAUGAAACUUCGAGAGAACCGCCAGUAUGCCAAGUUUUCAAAAUGUGAAUUUUGGUUACUAGAAGUGACCUAUCUAGGUCACGUAAUCUCUGGUAAGGGUAUUGCUAUCAAUCCCGAGAGAGUUCAAGCUGUCCUUGAUUGGACUCAACCUGAAUCGGUUAAGAAAGUUAGGAGUUUUCUUGGUCUAGCGAGCUAUUUUCGCCGCUUUGUCGAGAAUUUCUCCAAGGUUGCAAAGCCUCUAACUGAACUCCUCAAGAAAGACAAAAAGUUCGAGUGGGCACCAUAGUGUGAGCAUAGUUUACAUGAACUGAAAAGACGCCUGACUUCCGCACCUGUGUUGCUACCACCAGAUUUCUCUAAGGACUUUGUUAUCUACUGCAACGCCUCAUGACAAGGAUUAGGUUGCAUUCUCUUGCAUGAUCGUCAUGUGAUUGCAUACGCAUCUCGACAGUUGCGUGCACAUGAGGAAAAUUAUCCCACACAUGAUCUUGAGCUUGCAGCUAUAGUCCAUGCACUUAAAACCUGGCGACAUUGCCUUCUUGGUAAUCGUUGCGAAACAUUCACUCAUCACCAAAGUCCGAAAUAUAUCUUCACCCAGCCGGAUUUGAAUCUCAGGCAAAGACGGUGGGUUGAGUUGAUCACGGAUUACGACUUAGGGAUAACUUACACCCCGGGGAAGGCCAAUGUUAUGGCUGAUGCACUAAGUCGUAAGUCUUAUUGUAACAAGCUGAUGCUACAACGAGGUCAACCACAUCUCUAUGAGGAAUUUCAGAAGUUAAAUCUUCACAUUGUUCCUCAAGUAUUCCUUUCUAACCUGGUGGCGAAGCCUGCUCUUAAGGAUCAAAUCAUAGCUGGCCAUAAGCGUGAUUAGGGUAUAUCACGGAUCAAGGGGAAUAUUAUUAGUGGAAACGCUUAGGAAUUCUCCAUGAAUGAUCAAGAUGUUGUGUUCUUCCAGAAUCGUCUAGUGGUUCCUAAGAAUCCACAUCUAAGGGAGUUAAUCCUUAAGGAGGCUCAUGAUUCUCCUCUCACCAUUCAUCCUGGUAGUACUAAGAUGUAUCAGGACCUACGCCAGAGGUUUUGGUGGACUAGGAUGAAGAGAGAAAUUGCUGAGUUCGUUGCUAACUGUGACGUUUGUCGUCGAGUUAAGGCAGAACAACAAAGGCCUGCUGGCACCCUUCAACCUUUAGCUAUUCCUGAAUGGAAAUGGGAUAAAGUCAGUAUGGAUUUCAUCACCGGAUUUCCCAAGACCAAGAAAGGAAAUAAUGCUAUCUUUGUGGUCAUUGACCGUCUUUCCAAAGUAACUCAUUUUCUUCAAGUUCGUGAGAGUAUAAUAGCUAGCCACCUAGCAGAGUUAUAUAUCUCUCGAAUAGUGUCUCUUCAUGGUGUUCCUCUGGAGAUGAACUCGAACCGUGGAAGUAUCUUUACUUCUCGCUUCUGGGAGAGUUUUCAGAAUGCCAUGGGGACUCUCUUAUCUUUUAGCACUGCUUUCCAUCCUCAAUCAAGUGGUCAAGUACAAAGGGUGAAUCAAAUCCUAGAAGAUAUGCUCCGAGCUUCUGUUAUAUCGUUCGGUAUGAAUUGGGAGAAGUGUCUUCCAUUCGCCGAAUUUGCUUAUAACAACAGUUACCAAUCAAGCUUGGGCAAAGCUCCUUUUGAAGUUCUCUAUGGACGAAGAUGUCGAACACCUCUUAAUUGGUCAGAAGUCGGAGAGAGGAAACUCUUUGGUCCGGAUAUGAUCUAGGAUGUAGAAGAGAAAGUUCGCAUUAUUCGUGAAAAAUUGAAAACAGCCCAGUCUCGUCAAAAGAGCCAAUAUGAUCGUCAUCAUAAGGCUGUGACCUUUGAAGUUGAUGAGAAGACUUACCUUCGGGUUACACCUUUGAAGGCAACCCAUCGUUUCGGUAUCAAGGGCAAGUUGGCUCCUCGGUAUAUCGGUCCUUUUCGCAUUCUUGCCAAACGAGGAGAAGUUGCCUACCGAUUGGAACUUCCUCCGCAUCUUUCCAAGGUUCAUGAUGUAUUCCACGUGUCGCAACUCACGUGUUGCUUUUUGGAUCCUAUCCGUGAAGUGGACCAUGAAACGCUUGAUCUCCAAGAUAACCUUUCAUACCGAGAAUACCCUGUGUGUAUUCUAGAUCAAGCUGAGUGUACCACUCGACGUCGAAACCUCAAGUUUCAUAAAGUUCAAUGGUCAAAUCAUUCUGAAAAAGAAGCAACAUGGGAAAGAAAGGAUCGUCUUCGACUUGAGUAUCCCACGCUAUUCCCGACGACUUCCAAAUCUCUGGACGAGAUUCUUUUGAGUGGGGGUGAGUUGUCACAUCCCUGGAUUCCCUAUUAGGGUUUAGCAAGUUGUGCUCAUGUCUUCUUUCUUUGAAUCCAAGAAAUGGAAAUGAACUCAAAGGAAGUGGGGAAAUCAAAGCAAAACCGUAGCCACUCCUUAUUCAUAAGAUAAUUCAACAAGUGCCAAAUCAAUGAACCCAAAAUGGCCAUUAGAAAAGUUCAUCUUUGUGUUAAAUGUUGAAAACAAGAUCAGACGUGAAACAUAAUUUCAAAAUACUUUUGGCAUUUUAAUUUUAAGUUAAAAGCUACUGAAAUCAAUUAUAUAUUUGAUUUCAAAUAUUUCAAACUUUCCAAAAAUGUUGAAAACUUUAUAUGUGGAUGGAAAUAUUCCAACUAACACUUCAGUAUCAUUCAAACUAUUUUAGGAAUAGUUUGGAGCCAAAAAUAAAACAAAACAAAGUCAGUAAUUAAAUAACAGAAACAGAAAUGAAAGGAAUAAGAAAAAAACCUAUCUAAUGCUUACCUGAGGCCCAGCCCACCUUUUCCCUGUCGUCUACCUCGUGCCAGCGAGCAGCAGGAGGUGGCCGCCGCUCGCUGUGGCACGGCCAAGCACCUGCGUGCUUGCUUGGACCUCCUCGUCACGCUGGCAAGUAGGAUAAGCCUCCCCGCGAACCAUUCCACCUCUCUCCCUCUCCNCUCAUUCGCCCGCCGUGCCCCUCCCCUCUCGGCCGCCAUUAGAGCUCGAGGUCGAGCACGCCGUUCGCUCCACCUCAACGAGCUGAUCGUCCCUGCCAAAGGAGAAGAGCCCCCGGGCCCUACAUCGCCAGAUCCUCGUCGUCUUCCUCCUCGGUCUGUCGUUGAUCGCCGCCGCCGUUCUCCCUCCUCAGGCCAUCCCCGAGCAUGUUUACUACGCCGCUGCACUCCCUGUGAGCUCAGGGUUCUUUUCCCCUCUUUUCCCCCUUCGAUUCCGAGCUCUAGACCCCGAUUCCACCGGAGCCCGACGAGAUCCGCCGUGGGACCUCGUCGCCGGUAGCCCUCCGGUGAUCGGCUGGUCAAUCUGAGGCCACCAAUGGCUUCAGUACAUUGCAUAGGUGCUGUAGGAGCCUUGCCCCGCGCGUGUUGAGCCCCGUACCAGUGACCCCGAUGAUGCCCGAGCUUCGGCCGCCGCCGAUCUCGUCGUCGGCGUCAUCUCCGGCCAUUUCAACCCCUGAUGCGUGCAAAAAUGGAACCGCGGGUGAAGUCCCGUUCUUCUGGUGCCCUCCGCGUAAAGUUUAGUCGUCGGAAUGGAAAUCCCGAGCCCCUCCGCUGUCUGUGUGGUCGCCGGAGGUUCAUCGCCGGCGAGAUCCACCUCGCCGCCGGUGGAUCUGACUCCCGUGAGUCACUGGCAAGUAGGGCCAGCCCCCACGCUUAUUAGGAUUAGAAAAAUAAAAAGAAAGAUUAUUUUAAAACCUAAUCAGACACUGACAUGUGGGUCCAACCCUGUUAAUUAGUUAUUUAAGUUAAACUUAAACUAAAAAUUGGCCACAGUCACUGACCAGUGGGUCCCACUGGUCAGGUUUGACUUUCAACGGCCAGAUUGACCUCCUGAUCUCAUGUUGAUGCAAUAAAACCUUUUCUGUUUAAAAAUAAUUCCAGAAUAAGUUCCAAACUUUGGAAAUUCAUAGAAAAUUGAAUAUAACUCCAAAUUUGACAAAUAAUAUAUGUAAAAUGAUCAAAAAAGUUCAAGGAAUCUAAUGGUGCUAUUUUCUUGUAUGCAAAACAAAGUUAUGAAACAGCAUCAGGUCAAAUCAAUUAAAGUAAUUUGGUAAAUUAUAAUUCAAAUGAUAUUUGAAUUAUUAUUUCAAAUCAAGAUCACCCAAAAGGUUCUGUUAGUCAUCUCAAACCAUGCUACAUUGCAUUUCAUGCAUCAUUUUGUUGCAUAUGUUUGUUAUUGAUUGAUUGUUGUUAUUCCGGUAGGCUCCGCCUCUUCAGAUACGACUAAUUAUCCGACUGACGGAUAUCACCCCUCUGCUGAGCAACAAGGCAAGCAACCAUUUUGAUCAUCCGAUAAAACCCAUGUUCUCGCUCCUGCUCUUACUUAUUGCAUUAGGUAAAAAUGCUUGCAAUGCUUUUACGACGUUAGUUGAACCCACUUCCUUUGCAUGACCUGUCCUUGUCACAGUAAAUAGCUGAACAUUGCAACCUAGCAUACCAUGCGAUGCUUAGAGUUGUGUAUGGUCUGUCAUCUGGAUGAUGAACAGGAUCGUGAGAAUGUGUUUAGUUAGUAAAGGUUGUGUGUUGAACCUGAUUUGGUAAAGGUACCGGUGAAGGGCUAUGUAGGAGUACAUGGCGGGUUGUUUCAUUGGAACCGUCCUUAGGAACUGAGUUCCGUGUAUGUAAUCCAAGUCAAGAUACUACCACAUGUUGGGCCUUGAAAUAUGACCCCGCUCGACUUAUUAUUCGCCUAGUACCCGGUCCAGGAGUUGCAAGUAGUUUACGGUGUUUAUAGUCAUGCUGGAGGCCGUGCGUAGCGCUGACCUUAGAGGUGGGCUAUGAUGCGGUAGGCAGUGCCACGAUGUACCAAGUGGCUCCCGGAUGGUGGGCUUGGGAACCCUGCGCAUAUCGUUUGGGCCUAUGGCGGAAACCUCAGCAGGACUUGCGUGCGGGUUACCCUCAGAUAGGCGAUAGACCUGGACUAAGUAUUAGCGUGGUUAACGGUCGUGGCCGACUCCCUCGCUGGGCUUCCGCUUGAAGGUUGCCGAGAUGCAUGACGUGCACAUGGCGAUAAGUGCGAGAGCGUGUGUGAGGAAGUACACCCCUGCAGGGUUAUGAUCUAUUCGAAUAGCCGCGCCUAAGGAUAUGGACUACUUGGAAACAUAUGUUGUUCAUAGAUAACUCUAAUGGCUACUCAUAAAAUUGUCAAGAUAAGUGUGAGUGUCGUGGAUGGCCUUUCCGUAGGGAGUCGGAAUGAUUCCAUGAUGGAGUAUUGUUGUGGUGUUAGUGGACUCGUGUGCGAGAAAACAUAGUUGUCUAGCCAAGAGUCAAAUGUUGGCUUUCUGCAUGAAACCCCAAAACUCCUUGUUGAUACAUUGCAUGAGUAGAUAGAUUAUCCUAAAGUCUUGCUGAGUACUUUUGUACUCACGUUUGCUUAAUAAAUUGUUGCAGAGGUUGUUAAUGACCCUAAUGGGGCGUUUUACCUAGACGUUGACAACGACGAGUAGCUGGUGUCCCAGCUACGAUCUGGCCCUAGGUUGGGUCUGUAGAUAGUCAGGCCAUGUGCCUUUAUCUUUCCAGCUGUCUAUACUCAGACAGUUUUAUUCUUCCGCUGGCUUGUAAGAUUUGUGUGUAUGACUUGUGAUGAUGGGUCGUGAUACGCCUAUCUCUGUAAUAUUAUGUGUGAGGCUCUUCCAAGCCUUCUAAAUAAAGUUUGUAUGUUUAUGGUUAUGUUGUGAUACCAUCGAUGUAUCUAUGCAUAUCGGUAUGCCAUGCGUACGUGUGUUGUACAUGAUGUGUAUGGGGUUCGAAUACCUAGUCGUAUGCCUUAGUACCACUCCUUACGGGGAAAUGCCCCUUUGUGAUUCCAUCGAGCCAUGGUAGUUCGCUACUGCUCCGGACUCAUUGGAUGACCGGCAUGUGUCCUUCUUAGCUGUUGUGUCUGUCCCUUUGGGAAAUGUCACGCGUUGUAAUGGAGUCCUUGUAGCUUGCUACAACUCGUCUACAUUCGCUGAUGACCGACACCUGCUUUGCUGGGUAAUGUAUGCUUGUCCGUGUAUGGAACUGUCGCUUGAGUUUACGACUAGACAUGUCGAUUCGGGUUCUCUGACAUUGGAUUGCUAGCGACACAAUUGCAUACGCGAGUCAAAAGGCGCAAACGGUCCCGGCUAAGGUAAGGCUGCAGCCGUGGGGAUAACCGUGCGUGAGACCGCAAAGAGAUGUGAUGUGUUAGAGGCUGGAUUCCUAUGACUUAGGAUCGGGGUCCCGACAAUUGACUUCAUUACGAACAGAGUAACGCCUUAAGCAAGAUGACAUGAUGUAGAGGGAUAAAUUCAUGCAAUAGAUAUAAACCCCAUCUUUUUACCCUUGAUGGAAACAAUGCGAUGGGUGCCUCGCUGCCCCUUCUGUCACUGGGAAAGGUCUCCGCACGGUAUGAACCCAAAACCAAGCACUUCUCCCAUUGAAAGAAUCAUAGAUCAAGUUAGCCAAAAAAAACCCACAACUCGAAGAGAAUUACAAGGAUAUGAAAUCAUGCAUAUAAGAGAUCAGAAGAAACUCAAAUAAGAUUCAUAGAUAAUCUGAUCAUAAAUCCACAAUUCAUCGGAUCUCGACAAACACAUCGCAAAAGAAGAUUACAUCGGAUAGAUCUCCAUGAAGAUCAUGGAGAACUUUGUAUUGAAGAUCCACGAGAGAGAAGAAGCCAUCUAGCUACUAGCUAUGGACCCGAAGGUCUAUGGUGAACUACUCAAGCAUCAUCGGAGAUAUCAUGGUGUUGAUGAAGAAGUCCUCCAUAUCGGAAUCCCCCUCCGGCACGGCACCGGAACGUGCCCCAGAUGGGAUCUUGCGGAGACAGAAGCUUGCGGCGGCGGAAAAGUUUUUUCGUGGAUCUCUCGCGCAGUUUUGGAUUUUUCGGGAAUUUAUAGGCGGAAGAGGUAGGGCAGUCGAGCCACAGGGUGCCCACAAGCCUGCUAGGCACGCCCCCCUGGCAGCGCCUAGGGGGCUUGUGGCCUCCCCUGCUGGCCUCUGCCUUGGUUCUCACGCCCCCUGCGUAUCUUCUGUUCCGGAAAAAUCUUUUCGGAAGUUUUAUUCCGUUUGGACUCCGUUUAAUAUUCUCCUCUGAAAAGGGUCAAAAACACGGAAAAAACAGGAACUGGCACUUGGCACUGAGUUAAUAAGUUAGUCCCAAAAAAGAUAUAGAACGCAUACAAAACAUCCAAAGUUUGAUAAUAUAAUAGCAUGAAACCAUCAAAAAUUAUAGAUACGUUGGAGACGUAUUAGUGUGUCACAAAUCCGUCAAGCAAAUCUCAAUUGCUUACCAAUUCUUGCCCAACAGCAGGUGGCGAUCGGCAACCGGUGUAGUCAAACUCUCUCAAAGCUUGGAUAGAGAGAUUGCCAGGUGGUGUCAAACAUAUGAUGUAGAUGUAUGUGGAGCUGGGAAGGCUUAUAAUAUGGUAGCAAGACGGGUCAGCAAUAAUCAGUUCACAGAUGCAAGAUUGAAAAGAUGCUCAACGACAGUAUCGUGUUGGUCCUAGGCUAGACCGUACUAGAGACGCGACCCUAGAACACCAACGAAGUCACAAUGACACGUACUAACCAAGGGAAGAGCCACUCUGAAUUUUUUUUCUCUUUUUUCGUUUUUUUGCGCCUUUUUUUCUUCAGAAAAUCACUAUAAUGGCGAGUGUCUCAAAACUCUUUCCAAGCACCAAAAACAGGAUAGGCACGAGUUUUUUUUUAAUUUGUGGAACAAUUCGGGGAUGCGACGACUAAAAAUUGCAACAAAAAUCACUAUGAUGGCGAGUGUCUCAAAACUCUCUAAAAAGCCUAACAAAACGAUAGGGAAAAAAUUUCACCCCUCGAAAUUUUGGCCUAAAAAGUGAUGUGGAAAGCAUGUGAGACUCACGUAAGGAAACACGAAACCAAAAUCAAACAGAUCACGAAAUUAACCUAAGACGAAAAGGAUGCAGACUAGGAUUGUGGUGGGUAUAUGGUGGUGGUAUAUGGUAGCAAGGAUAAUGGUGGCGUGGUGGGGGUAUAUGGCAGCAGCGAUGAUGCUAGCGUGGAGGUGGUAUAUGGCACCAACGCUGAUGGUAGCGUGGAGGUGAUAUAUGGCACCGAUGAAAGACGGUGCGGCGGCGGCGUGACAACCUGUCAACAUAACCUGAAACUCUAAAGGACUAGAUACUAAGACCAGCAGCUCAACACGACGAUGUAACCGCAAAUUCAACUAAGCAAACUACUGAAAAGACUAUACAAAGGCUCAGAUUGGUUCGGAUAUGAUGAUCUAACCCUAAUUGUUUUUAUGGAUUUUUCGUGGACGAUAGGUAUAAAUAACAGAUGCGAUCUAACUACGAUAAACUGGUAAAAUCUCACCGAGCAACCUGGAAAUCUGAUACCACUUGAUAGAGGCGAAGUUGUCCCUGUCUUUCGAGGAAAUCGUGGGAAUCGUUUUGGUGGAGUAGCCUUUGACGAUCCGACUACAAACGUGCGAGGACGUCGCGCCUUAGCAAUCUCUAAACCAACUCCGAGAGGUUAUUGACCACGCCAGAGCACGAUCAACCUGACCACGAAGGUCUGUUUUCUGCACGCAAACAAAGAACAAGCAAGAAACCAAGAUGCAAUCAACAUAUUGCGAGUAGAAGAGGAAAGAUUUAUUGAUGAAGGUGGGGUUCUGUGACGCCUUUGUCUGGUCGUAGAACACAAACGAAGAACACGAAGUUGCAGCUAUGGCGAACUUGUAAUCUAAACAAAACCCAAGUCUAAACGAUGCCCUAAGGGUUGUAUAUAUGAGGGAAUAGAGAGGCAAUUUCGUGACCCUUGGAGGAGGGGUCCGAAAACAGCCCUAAACUCGGUUUCCCCACACGUUCGUACUGUAAAAAUAGCCUAUAUUAUGGUAUUUUGAAAUUACAUGGGCCUGGCCCAAAAAUAAGGUGGCGCAACACCUAUAAUAGCCUAUGGACGAAAUUUAUAAGGCGACGUCUUGAAUAUUUUGCCCAAAGCCUUCAUGCUUCCUUAUGGUGGCUUUAAAGAGCGAAAAUCACGAGUGGAAGCUCCAUUGUUCUCUCCCGCGCGUGCACCUUCUUCUCCAUGCUUGAUCCCGCUCCAACGGAUAUCUUUCUUAUCCAUGCUAGGUCCUUCAUUCAUGAGAACAACAAAAGUAUCUAACUUAGGCAGCAUCAUAUGUUCAUGAACAUUAGAAGUAUUCCCAAGAAAUGAAAGUACCUGGUAAUUCAAUUGGCGUGCACGAGCUCUAGUAACUGGUCCAGUAUGUAUAGCAGCUGGGGCUGUGGGUGUAACAACGGUGUUGAUGUCCUCAUCAUCUAGCGUCACCGAACCUUAACUGUGUAGACCCUGCGGGACCGAGACAUCUCUCCGGCCAAUAACCAACAAUAGUGUCUGGAUAUCCAUGUUCGCUCCCACAUGUUCUACGAUGAUCUCAUUGGAUGAACCACAAUGUCGAGGAUUCUCUCAAUCCCGUAUACAAUUCCCUUUGUGUGCCGGUAUGACACUUGCCCGAGAUUCGAUCAUCGUAUCCCUAUACCUUGUUCAAUCUUGUUAUCGGCAAGUCUCUUUUCUCGUUCCCUAACAAAUCAUCCCGUGGCUAACUCCUUAGUCACACUGAGCUCAUUAUGAUGAUGCAUUACCGAGUGGGCCUAGAGAUACCUCUCCGUCACACGGAGCGACAAAUCCCAGUCUCGAUUCGUACCAACCCAACAGACACUUUCGAAGAUACCUAUAGUGCACCUUUAUAAUCGCCCAGUUACAUUGUGAUAUUUGGUACACCCAAAGCAGUCUUACGGCAUCCAGGAGUUGCACAAUCUCAUGGUCUAAAGAAAUGAUACUCGACAUUAGAAAAGCUUUAGCCGACGAACUACACGAUAUUAUGCUAUGCUUAGGAUUGGGUCUUGUCCAUCACAACAUUCUCCUAAUGAUGUGACCCCGUUACCAAUGACAUCUAAUGUCCAUGAUCAAGAAAUCAUGAACAUCUAUUGAUCAACGAGCUAGCCAACUAGAGGCCCACGAGGGACAUGUUGUGGUCUAUAUAUUCACACAUGUAUUACGGUUUCCAUUUAAUAAAAUUAUAGCAUGAACUAUAGACAAUUAUAACGAACAAGGAAAUAUAAUAAUAACCAAUUUAUUAUUGCCUCUAGGGCAUAUUUCCAACAUGUGGUGGGGCUGUACACACCCCAGAGCCUCCCGGUGUGCCACCCCUUAGCAUCAGCAGAACUCCUGCCCACACCCAAGUGGAAGCCCCGUGCUACAUGCCGAUGGAAUGGUUGAAUCGCAACCAUGCCCAUGCCCAAGUGGAAGCCCCAUGCCCCCACACUAGUAGAACGAUCAAACUAUGAUCAUACCCACACCCAAGUGGAAGCCCCAUGCUCCCUUCUGGUGGAAAGUCAACUGAGAGCGCCCCACAGGCCGCGUUGACCUGAGGAUGAAUCGUGCGUGACACGACAGCUGUUGGCUUUCUUCCACGGCACUUGCUCGCCAGUUUCCGCUUGAGCCUCAUGCGAGCGGGGGCUGGAUACAGUUUGUGUGAUCAGGUUAGUCCCAACAGCGCUAAAAACCCCUAGGUACUAGGCUCUGGCUCACGGGCAUGCUCACGCGCACGUCACGCCACCAAGGCCCUUGGUGUCUGGUCUCCUUACAUGACACCCAAGUGCAAGCCGUCGAGAGCGCGUUGUAUGAAAUGAAGUUUUUGCGUGCAUGAUAUUUCCUCGGACUGGAUCACUCGAGGAGUCUCACAAGGCGUGUCCGGCAAGUGGCAAACUAUUGGCAUUGCAAAGGACUAAGUAUGAGAACACCCCCCCCCCCCGAGGGAAGCCUCGCCAUUGCUAAUGUUUUACCUCAUGCGGACCACUUGCGUGUCAAGGGGAGACUCAUGGGCAUCGCGCUUCAGGAGCCUUCACUAGCUCCCGGAGCCCAUCACCUCCAGCUUUGUCCAUGCACCGCGACUUGACAUACCAGCGACAGCUGUCGAUCACUUGGGGGCUGGGUCCCGGCAACAAAGAGAACUCGAGCAAGAAAGGGAGAAGGGGAGAACUACGCGAGGGGAACUCAGAAGUGGGCGCAUGGUUCAAAAUGCAAAGGCAUUGCUUGCAAAGGGCAACAAUUUUUCACACACCCCUCUCAGAGCUUACAUUGAUCCAUCGCAGGAUGGAAGAUGCCAUAAUAAAACACCCAAGAUGUGGUCCUAUCCUUAUUUUAGCUCGAGGACCUUGAUGGGGAUAGAAGCGCAUCUCGUCGUUUUGCAAGAAUGAAUAUCGUUACUAGUACAUGUACAAAAGAGAUGAUUAUAUGGAAUUGGCUUAGACUCGCCACAAUCUACAAUAUGAACAUCUCAAUACAGCAAUUGAACAUCAUGUAGAAGAGGAGGGUCCGACUACGGACGAAAACAAAUAAUAAAACAACGAUGUCUAUCAUUGCUAUCCCAGGCUACUGGCUUGGGACCCAUCCUAGAUAGAUGAAGAAAAGAAGAAGAAGAAACUCCAAAUAGAACAAUAAUCGCGCUCACGUCAAGUAUCGCUCUACCUGUACCUGAAACUCUUGUUGUAGUAAUCUAUGAGCCACAGGGACUCAACAAUCUCAUUUCCAAAGGUAUCAAGAUUAGAAAAGCUUAAUGGGUGAGGUAUGGUUAAGUGUUGAGGCUGCAACAAGCAACUAAGCAUUUAUUGAAGGUGGCUAAAUUAUGAGUACAAUAAUAAGAGGAGGAUGAUCUACACAUAAUAGAGGUGAACUAAACAUGAUCACAAAGUGAUCCAGAACACCUCCUUAUGUCAAACAUAACCCCGCGUGUCCAUUCUCGGAUACAGAGCUCAUGAGAAGAGACAAUCACGGUUACGCACACAAUUGGCAAGUUUUAAUUAAAUUUGUACUUCAGGUUUCUAUGACCGGGUGUUAAACCAAGUUUCCAUGUGGCCACAUAACCACGGGCAUGACUUUUCAAAAGAUUUAACCCAACACGGGUGCUCCAACUAGUCCAUCACAAACUACCACAAGCUGCGUGGAAUAAAUUCAACCACAGAAAACUCAUAGUCUCCUCAAAAUUCUGAUGAAAAACCUCAACCUCGAGAUAGCUCAAACUAUUCUCGGGAUUACUCGCACAAUACAUUCAAGAAAGGUAAAACAAAUCCAGCAAGACCGCCCGACGUGCCGACGAUCUCAAUAGGAGCCACAUAUCUCGUUCUCAGGGCACAAUCAGACGAGCUAGGCGUAUGGUGGCCUGAUAGAAAUCUCGUGAGUUGCCCCGAGUUGGCCCCACACGGUGCUCUGUUUAGGACCAGUACCAUCAGCACUGGCCCUCCCUCUAUUAUUUGAAUUACUCCUCGGGUUUAUGGCACCCUAUGUUUUAAUAACGGUGUUCAAUAUUAUUAUGUUGGGUAAAUAUAGUACCAAUGUUGGGCCUUGCCAGAAGAGUUUUAUCCCAAAAAGAAAGUCAAGGGGGUCCCCAUGACAACCCCAAGCAUGUUAGGAGUGUUCAAAUAUGGAAUAUAACACCGAUACACAAGUAGCUAGGCCGAUAAAGAUGGAACAAAACACCAUGCUAGAAGGCCAAGACUUCCACCUUUUACCAAGUGUAUAGAUGCAUUAAAUUAAUUAGCAAUAAUGUGGUGACAUUCAGAAUAAUAUCCAUGUUGUCACGUGGAAGCAACUCACUUGCAAUUAGCAACGCUAUAAGAAGGGCUAAGCAAGCGGUAACAUAGCCAAAUAGGGUUUGCUGGGUUGUGGAAGAGUCAGAGGCUUUUCAUGGCAAUGUUGGGAGGUUUGACAUAACAGGUGGUAGGCAAUGAGACAUAGCGAUAGAAAUAAAACAACUAGCAUGACAAUGAUAGUACUGGUAUCUAGGGAAAUAAUCAUCUAUCAUGUAUUCCCGCUUGGAAGAAGAACGGAUCCGUGAAACAGACGAACGAGCGCAGUCGAACAAAUCCGCGCAUUCCAAAGCUGUUUGGAACUCUACCGAGAAGAAACAAUCAGGAAAUAACAAUCAACACACAAUAAACACCACAACAUAUUCAUGACAUGAUGCAUAAACACAUAUGAUGCAUGUCCGAUUUAAAUAUGUGGGGCAUGAUAAUCUCAACAAUCAAAUACAACACAUUAACAGAAGCUCAAUAUGCAAAACGCCACAUUCAAAUCAUUUAGUUCACUCCCGUUUAGAUACACGACAAGUUUAAAUGUUGUUAAACAUGGUAAAAGGUGAAGCAUAAUUAAACUACACUAUCUAGGCAUUUUAAAUGAGGUCGGAAAAAACAUAUAGCAUUUCCGAAGCGACCCCAUAUGCGAAUUUCAUAAUUGGUCCAUAUCUGCCUAAAACAUGUUUUAUAUUUCUUAAAUAGCAAAAUAAAGUGGACAAUGUGCUUUUACAUGUCAUUAUAGUCGAUUUACAUAUAUAAAACAUCUAAGACGAAGCUACGCUCUAAAAGAUAAGACCAACACAAAAUAAUAUGAUCUGGAUGUAGAAUGUAUGCAAACAACAAAACUAACAUGUUAAAGCAUGGAUGCAACAAGAUAUUAUGGAACUACAUGAAAUUCUAGGCAAGUUAAAAUGAGGCCGUAAAAGCGAAUAACAAUUCUGAAAAGUUCUCAUAUGCAAAUUAAGAUUUUGGUACUUUUCUACCUAUAACACAAUUUUAGAGUCGUUAAACAAAAAAAAAUAAAUGUCACCAUGUUAUUCUACACAUUUUUCUAGUCAAGUUACAUAUGUGGAUCAUUUUAAUCGGAGCUAAGGUUAACUAAUUAUGAGACAAACCGUUAUUCACAUGGCAUUAUGCAAAUUAAAUGAAAACAACAAGUUAAAAAAAUUAAUCAUGGUUGAAAGUUACACAAAAUGCUAAGCAUUUUUCAUGUAUAUAAAGGUUUUUAAUUCGAUGCACGGUUAUUUAGUUGAGAGCAACGCAAAUUAAAGUCAUUUUUGUGGAAUCAUGAAGUACAUUGGACAAAUGACAAAUUCACAGCGAGUAAAAAAUGAUUUUGCCGGAUUGCAGCUUAGUGCAACAACCCACGUGUGGAAUCGGCCCAAGUGGCCAUGUGCUCGAUUGAAAAAAAGCCAGACGCAGAAAAACCAUUGAUCCCUCCUUGGAUUCGACCCCAAGAACUCAUGGAUCGGAUGUAGUUGGUUCUACUCUGCGCUACUGCGUGUGCUUGUGCAAAAAUGAGGGCGCUGCUUAUAUUAAACUAACACAACGGUCAAGACUUUCUCACCAUGAAUUCGUGACUAACAUAGCCAUGACGGAAGGCAACAACAACAGUUGCUGUUGACAGAGGGCUGGCGAGGGCAGUUGGGGAUGGACAGAUCCGAAGCUCCCCGGUAUGGAUCCGACCAAGCAUCAAGGCGACGCGUCGAGCUGGAGGUGCAGGAGGCCAUCAAUGGCUGUGGGGUAAACGCAGCCCGGCGGAGUGGCGAAGGUGUAUGGUGGUGCGAAGAGGAGGCGGCACGGGGUGGGUGAGCGGGAACCAAGCCGGAUCUGGUCGGUGGCGCGUUGAAGGACGCCCGGGCCGUCGCGGGUGGAGCUCCCCUUGGGCAUCCAUAGCGCCUGCAGGAUAGAAGAGAGAGAAGGGGAGGUUAGCGAGAGAGGGAGAAGAAGGGGAGGAAGGAAGAGAGGAGGAGGAGGAUGAUGAGGUCCUUCCCUGGCAGUGGUCUCCAUAGAGGUCGCGCUGAUGGGGUUCGAUGGCUCUACUCGCCGACGCUAGUGCUAGAGGGCGAGGCAUGGCUUGCUCGGAGCAGAGCGCGGCCGCUUGCGUGGCUGCGGGAGCUUCGAUCCUGUGGUCGCACGGACGAAGCAAGCUGCGGGCGGCUGGACGCGUCCAUGCGCAGCAGGGGCUGGCUGCGUGAUGCGGUUGGCUGGGAUGUAUCCCGAGGAAGAUGCGGCUAGCGGCGGCGGGAUGGGAUAAAGGGGAGGAUUUCUAGGGUUGUCCAAAAUAGGUCUAGGUUUUGAAAAUAAAUAUCAGGGUUUCUGCGAUCUAAAUCGGAAGGUCGAGGUUAAAUAUGUAAGAGGGCAAUUGAAAAACCGAUCAUGGUUUGGCGUAUUACGGAGUAGAUCCGGACCCAACGAUUAUGACAGUAUGUUUCGUGUUUUGGGGUGUUUUCGGGCUUGAUUGCGCAUAGGGUAUGUGCAUUGUGUAGAUGGUCUAUGCAUAGAAGAAAGAGAAAAUGGGCAGCUCGAUAUCAGAUUUUUGAACACCGAAAAUGUCUCACCUUUCGUCGGCUAUAGUAUCACUAUAGGUUUAACGAUUGGGAUAUCAAAUGGACUCCGAAUGCGAAAAAAUUUGGCACACGGUCUACCUACAAUCUAUUGAGACCGCACGCCAACUUUCAACCCAUUCCGAGAAUGUUUUAUACACACU
This 34341-nucleotide long non-coding RNA is filed under the name Hordeum vulgare. RNAcentral describes it as "long non-coding RNA (HVUL_LNC004135)". The record is from RNAcentral. Lineage: Eukaryota; Viridiplantae; Streptophyta; Magnoliopsida; Poales; Poaceae.